Empidonax traillii (willow flycatcher) is the source of this 802-nucleotide long non-coding RNA. RefSeq lists it as uncharacterized. The record is from RefSeq and is a predicted model, not a curated record. Lineage: Eukaryota; Metazoa; Chordata; Aves; Passeriformes; Tyrannidae. The transcript has 2 exons.
GAGGGGCUCAUGUUGACUUUUCUGUGAGAAUUGACCAAAUACUCUGUGUAGAUACCUGGCUGAGAGCUGGAACUGAGCCACUGCAGAGUGUAAAGCUGUUGGGACUUACUGGAGCUUCAGUAAUUCAGGGUUCCUGUCACCUGGACCUUGUCUCGUGGCCAGAAUUCACUUAUUAAUCCUGAUUGCCUCCAAACAGGUUGUCUUGGGAAGUGGUAGAUGAGACACAGGUGAGCUUUUGAGACUUCCUUCCUGGAACACAAGGGGGAAUGUGGGUUGAGUAAGUUUUAAAAAUGUUUCCUUAUUAGUUGAACUGAGGGAAUUUAUUAUGGAGAGAAAACAUGGGGUACUUGAGGAAGGGGCUUUGCUUGUUCUCUAAUUAAGAUAUAAUUUCCCAGAACGGGUGCUGUCUGAGUAAUGCCAGAUGUAGUGGAAUCCUCCCCUCUUGAAUUUUUAGGUACAGCCAAGCUUUGAGUGAGGAAUUAAAAACUAUUCCUUAUUUGUGCCCCAAAUAGGCUUUUGUUUGGAAUGACUUUAGUUGCAUUAGAAAGUGGAGCUGAGCUCUUUCCUGGUGCAUUGACUUGGAAUGUCAAUCACGUCCUUGUUGCAGAGUGGGAGGGUUACCAGCCUGGGUGAAAGCAGAACUCAGGAUCUCACAAUUUUAGCAGCAUCAGCUGAAACAAGACGGAAAACAGCACUUAAGAGGAUUUUGUGUGUGGAAGGAAAAAGGGUUGAGACUGCACUGAAGACAGAAGCUUAGUGGUUGCCUAAAGCCACCACAAAUAAAAUACUCCUUAUUCUUUCA